GGGGAUGUGGUUCAGUUUUGUAGAGCACUUGCCUGUCUUGCAAGGUGUCCUGGGUUCCAUUCCCAGCACCCA
This 72-nucleotide transfer RNA is filed under the name Dipodomys ordii (Ord's kangaroo rat). It matches the Rfam family "tRNA". Rfam says of the family: Transfer RNA (tRNA) molecules are approximately 80 nucleotides in length. Their secondary structure includes four short double-helical elements and three loops (D, anti-codon, and T loops). Lineage: Eukaryota; Metazoa; Chordata; Mammalia; Rodentia; Heteromyidae. The record is from Rfam by way of RNAcentral.